UUUAAAUUUAUAAUUAUUAAUCCAAAACGGAUAGCGUGACUUUGGGAGUCCUUUAUGACAACAAGUAGCACAUAGGCUGCAAAGGCUGGUGGUGGUUCUUGAAUCUACUUGCAACACACUAAGUUAUGUCAUCAAAAAUUAUAUGGGCAUGCAUCGACGCCUUGAAGACGCUUCAAGAGUGGUUAGAAGUUGUCGCCAGCUAACCGUUGGAAAAGCUCCGUCCAUCAAUCCUCCGAAUUCCAGUACGAUCCGCUAAAUUAGGUGUUAUUUCGUUGAAGGACCGUUCAAAAAUUGUGAUUCUCAACUCAAGGUUUCAACUUGGGCGUCUGUUUCUUAAGGGUGGAUGCAUAACAAGGUUGGAGUUAGUAACAAUUUAGAAGUUAUUGUAUUUGUAGCUAUUUAGAAGUUAUGUAUUUGUAACAAUUUCAUUUAAUAGAUUUGUACAAUAUAUUAAUUUUACGAGUGUA
Molecule: long non-coding RNA, 467 nt
Organism: Helianthus annuus (common sunflower)
Lineage: Eukaryota; Viridiplantae; Streptophyta; Magnoliopsida; Asterales; Asteraceae
Exons: 2
Source: RefSeq, a predicted model, not a curated record